UACGUAGGGUGCAAGCGUUAAUCGGAAUUACUGGGCGUAAAGCGUGCGCAGGCGGUUUUGUAAGACAGGCGUGAAAUCCCCGGGCUCAACCUGGGAAUUGCGCUUGUGACUGCAAAGCUGGAGUGCGGCAGAGGGGGAUGGAAUUCCGCGUGUAGCAGUGAAAUGCGUAGAUAUGCGGAGGAACACCGAUGGCGAAGGCAAUCCCCUGGGCAUGCACUGACGCUCAUGCACGAAAGCGUGGGGAGCAAACAGG
This 253-nucleotide ribosomal RNA is filed under the name uncultured bacterium. RNAcentral's name for it is "partial 16S ribosomal RNA". It matches the Rfam family "Bacterial small subunit ribosomal RNA", at positions 524 to 776 of the family's 1533-position model. The record is from RNAcentral.